UACGGGGGGAGCAAGCGUUGUUCGGAUUUACUGGGCGUAAAGGGCGCGUAGGCGGCGUGACAAGUCACUUGUGAAAUCUCCGGGCUUAACCCGGAGCGGCCAAGUGAUACUGUCGUGCUAGAGUGCGGAAGGGGCUACUGGAAUUCUCGGUGUAGCGGUGAAAUGCGUAGAUAUCUGGAGGAACACCGGUGGCGAAGGCGGCAUCCUGGACCAACACUGACGCUGAGGAGCGAAAGCCAGGGGAGCAAACGGG
Molecule: ribosomal RNA, 253 nt
Filed under: uncultured bacterium
Lineage: Bacteria
Description: partial 16S ribosomal RNA
Rfam family: Bacterial small subunit ribosomal RNA
Source: RNAcentral